This 217-nucleotide long non-coding RNA is filed under the name Elaeis guineensis (African oil palm). RNAcentral describes it as "long non-coding RNA (EGUI_LNC027907)". The record is from RNAcentral. Lineage: Eukaryota; Viridiplantae; Streptophyta; Magnoliopsida; Arecales; Arecaceae.
GGGUGAAUUUUCAUACCUGUCGUACAGAUUUUGAAAAGACUAAAAUUUGAAUUGCAUCUACAUGGGAGGAAUUGGCGCAUGUCUCCAUAUAUUCCUUCAAAAGUAGCAUAAAGUGUGAUUCGUCUGCCAUUGACAUUAAGUACUAUAUCAGUGGCAGCAAUCACAUCCAUUUGCAGUCUCUACGUGUCACACGUAAGCUAGUCUUCUGUUGAUGCAC